RNAcentral lists this long non-coding RNA (206 nucleotides) under Musa acuminata (dwarf banana). RNAcentral's name for it is "long non-coding RNA (MACU_LNC011823)". Lineage: Eukaryota; Viridiplantae; Streptophyta; Magnoliopsida; Zingiberales; Musaceae. The record is from RNAcentral.
GGCAUCAACACUGUCGAUGCGAAGUUGCCGAGGAGGUGGACGGCAAGGGCAGUGCUGCGGUCGCUGCGUUGGAGGAAGAGUAGCUGCCCUAUUUCUAUCACUGCGUGGGGUGAGAGCACCGGGGUUGGAAGGCGACUGCGUUGAUGUGGCUGCAGCUGGGGGCAGCGUCGCCAAGAGCCUAUCGCAGCGAUGGUUGCGACGGUGCG